UGGGGAAUAUUGCACAAUGGGCGCAAGCCUGAUGCAGCCAUGCCGCGUGUAUGAAGAAGGCCUUCGGGUUGUAAAGUACUUUCAGUCGGGAGGAAGGUGUCAAGGUUAAUAACCUUGGCAAUUGACGUUACCGACAGAAGAAGCACCGGCUAACUCCGUGCCAGCAGCCGCGGUAAUACGGAGGGUGCAAGCGUUAAUCGGAAUUACUGGGCGUAAAGCGCACGCAGGCGGUUGAUUGAGUCAGAUGUGAAAUCCCCGGGCUUAACCCGGGAAUUGCAUCUGAUACCGGUCAGCUAGAGUCUUGUAGAGGGGGGUAGAAUUCCAUGUGUAGCGGUGAAAUGCGUAGAGAUGUGGAGGAAUACCGGUGGCGAAGGCGGCCCCCUGGACAAAGACUGACGCUCAGGUGCGAAAGCGUGGGGAGCAAACAGG
RNAcentral lists this ribosomal RNA (429 nucleotides) under Chloroflexota bacterium. RNAcentral describes it as "Chloroflexi bacterium partial 16S ribosomal RNA". It matches the Rfam family "Bacterial small subunit ribosomal RNA", at positions 355 to 776 of the family's 1533-position model. The record is from RNAcentral. Lineage: Bacteria; Bacillati; Chloroflexota.